Molecule: ribosomal RNA, 819 nt
Filed under: Triticum aestivum (bread wheat)
Lineage: Eukaryota; Viridiplantae; Streptophyta; Magnoliopsida; Poales; Poaceae
Description: partial small subunit ribosomal RNA
Source: RNAcentral
AUGCUCAGCGCGCCCGAUGACGCAGGCCGCCCGCUCUUCGCCGCCAAGGACAUCAACAAGUUCUACCUCGACCACUGUCCAAGUAUCUUCCCUCAAGCCAGCAAAGGGCCCCUCGGCUUGAUGAGGAGCAUGAUGGGACCCAAGUACAACGGCGAGUACCUCCACACGGUCGUCAAGAAGCUCCUUGGUGACACGCGGGUCGGCGAUACGCUGAAUAACGUCGUCAUUCCAACCUUCGACAUCAAACUACUGCAGCCCACAAUCUUCUCGACUUACAACCUAUGUGAUGCCAUGAAGGAUAAAUCGAAGAACGCUCUUCUAUCCGACGUCUGCAUCAGCACGUCCGCUGCGCCGACCUACCUCCCCGGCCACCACUUUCAGACAGAGGGCGAGGACGGCACGCCCCGGCAGUUCAACCUCAUCGACGGUGGCGUCGCUGCAAACAAUCCGCUCUACAACAGGGGCGCGGCGCCCAUCAUCGACAGCUUCAGCCAGGCAAGUGCCGACCUUGUCGACAUCCACGCCUCUGUGCUAUUUCAGGCGCUUCACUGCAAGAAACGCUACCUCCGGAUCCAGGAUGACGAGCUCAAGGGCGAGACGGCCUCCGUCGACGUGUCCACGCCAGAGAACCUCAACCGGCUUGUCGAUGUUGGCAAGGCCCUGCUCAAGAGGCAGGUGUGCAAGGUGAAUGCUGAGACGGGCAAGAACGAGCCCGACCAAAAUAGGGGCACGAACGAGGAGGAGCUGGUCAUAUUUGCACGCAUGUUGUCGAAAGAGCGCAAAGCCAGGCUUCAGAAGGAGGGCGAUGUUGAAUUCUAG